RNAcentral lists this ribosomal RNA (498 nucleotides) under uncultured bacterium. RNAcentral describes it as "partial 16S ribosomal RNA". It matches the Rfam family "Bacterial small subunit ribosomal RNA", at positions 30 to 523 of the family's 1533-position model. The record is from RNAcentral.
AUUGAACGCUGGCGGCAUGCCUUACACAUGCAAGUCGAACGGUAACAGGUCUUCGGAUGCUGACGAGUGGCGAACGGGUGAGUAAUACAUCGGAACGUGCCUAGUAGUGGGGGAUAACUACUCGAAAGAGUGGCUAAUACCGCAUGAGAUCUACGGAUGAAAGCAGGGGAUCGCAAGACCUUGUGCUACUAGAGCGGCCGAUGGCAGAUUAGGUAGUUGGUGGGAUAAAAGCUUACCAAGCCGACGACCUGUAGCUGGUCUGAGAGGACGAUCAGCCACACUGGGACUGAGACACGGCCCAGACUCCUACGGGAGGCAGCAGUGGGGAAUUUUGGACAAUGGGCGCAAGCCUGAUCCAGCAAUGCCGCGUGCAGGAUGAAGGCCUUCGGGUUGUAAACUGCUUUCGUACGGAACGAAAAGCCCUGGGUUAAUACCCUGGGGUCAUGACGGUACCGUGAGAAUAAGCACCGGCUAACUACGUGCCAGCCGCCGCCGUAA